AAUUGUUUGGAGAAUCGACAAGAAAAGUUAUUAAAGAAAAAGUCCAAACAAGUUAAUUGUACAGGUCGGGUGAAAAACCUAAAAAUACUUGGCCCGUUACAAGGCUGCCUAAAAUAUCUUACAAUCCACACAAACUAUAAAGCAGAGCAAGUUGAAGUUUAGCCCCACAACCCAUUUCGGCCCAAGGUUUGGUGAUGAAACGAACUUUUCUUGUCGAUUCUCCAAACAAUU
RNAcentral lists this unclassified non-coding RNA (231 nucleotides) under Hevea brasiliensis (rubber tree). Lineage: Eukaryota; Viridiplantae; Streptophyta; Magnoliopsida; Malpighiales; Euphorbiaceae. The record is from RNAcentral.